AACGAACGCUGGCGGCAUGCCUAACACAUGCAAGUCGAACGAGACCUUCGGGUCUAGUGGCGCACGGGUGCGUAACGCGUGGGAACCUGCCUUUAGGUUCGGAAUAACUCAGAGAAAUUUGAGCUAAUACCGGAUGAUGUCUUCGGACCAAAGAUUUAUCGCCUUUAGAUGGGCCCGCGUUGGAUUAGCUAGUUGGUGGGGUAAAGGCCUACCAAGGCGACGAUCCAUAGCUGGUCUGAGAGGAUGAUCAGCCACACUGGGACUGAGACACGGCCCAGACUCCUACGGGAAGCAGCAGUGGGGAAUAUUGGAAAAUGGGCGAAAGCCUGAUCCAGCAAUGCCGCGUGAGUGAUGAAGGCCUUAGGGUUGUAAAGCUCUUUUACCCGAGAUGAUAAUGACAGUAUCGGGAGAAUAAGCUCCGGCUAACUCCGUG
This 433-nucleotide ribosomal RNA is filed under the name uncultured bacterium. RNAcentral describes it as "partial 16S ribosomal RNA". It matches the Rfam family "Bacterial small subunit ribosomal RNA", at positions 29 to 507 of the family's 1533-position model. The record is from RNAcentral.